GCUAAUACCGCAUAUUCUGUGCGCAGGAAAGCAGGGGAUCGCAAGACCUUGCGCUGAUUGAGCGGCCGAUAUCGGAUUAGCUAGCUGGUGAGGUAAAAGCUCACCAAGGCGACGAUCUGUAGCGGGUCUGAGAGGAUGAUCCGCCACACUGGAACUGAGACACGGUCCAGACUCCUACGGGAGGCAGCAGUGGGGAAUUUUGGACAAUGGGGGCAACCCUGAUCCAGCCAUGCCGCGUGAGUGAAGAAGGCCUUCGGGUUGUAAAGCUCUUUCAGCCGGGAAGAAAAUGCAUGGGUUAAUACCCUGUGCAGAUGACGGUACCGGAAUAAGAAGCACCGGCUAACUACGUGCCAGCAGCCGCGGUAGUACGUAGGGUGCGAGCGUUAAUCGGAAUUACUGGGCGUAAAGCGUGCGCAGGCGGUUUUGUAAGACAGGCGUGAAAUCCCCGGGCUUAACCUGGGAACUGCGUUUGUGACUGCAAGGCUAGAGUACGGCAGAGGGGGGUGGAAUUCCACGUGUAGCAGUGAAAUGCGUAGAGAUGUGGAGGAACACCAAUGGCGAAGGCAGCCCCCUGGGUCGAUACUGACGCUCAUGCACGAAAGCGUGGGUAGCAAACAGGAUUAGAUACCCUGGUAGUCCACGCCCUAAACGAUGUCAACUAGGUGUUGGGAGGGUAAAACCUUUUAGUACCGUAGCUAACGCGAGAAGUUGACCGCCUGGGGAGUACGGCCGCAAGGUUAAAACUCAAAGGAAUUGACGGGGACCCGCACAAGCGGUGGAUGAUGUGGAUUAAUUCGAUGCAACGCGAAAAACCUUACCUACCCUUGACAUGUCAGGAACUUUCCAGAGAUGGAUUGGUGCUCGAAAGAGAACCUGAACACAGGUGCUGCAUGGCUGUCGUCAGCUCGUGUCGUGAGAUGUUGGGUUAAGUCCCGCAACGAGCGCAACCCUUGUCGUUAAUUGCCAUCAUUCAGUUGGGCACUUUAACGAGACUGCCGGUGACAAACCGGAGGAAGGUGGGGAUGACGUCAAGUCCUCAUGGCCCUUAUGGGUAGGGCUUCACACGUCAUACAAUGGUCGGUACAAAGGGUCGCCAACCCGCGAGGGGGAGCCAAUCCCAUAAAGCCGAUCGUAGUCCGGAUUGUAGGCUGCAACUCGCCUGCAUGAAGUCGGAAUCGCUAGUAAUCGUGGAUCAGCAUGUCACGGUGAAUACGUUCCCGGGUCUUGUACACACCGCCCGUCACACCAUGGGAGCGGGUUCCGCCAGAAGUAGGUAGCCUAACCGCAAGGGGGGCACUUACCACGGCGGGGUUCGUGACUGGGGUGAAGUCGUAACAAGGUA
RNAcentral lists this ribosomal RNA (1342 nucleotides) under metagenome. RNAcentral's name for it is "bacterial SSU rRNA". It matches the Rfam family "Bacterial small subunit ribosomal RNA", at positions 162 to 1498 of the family's 1533-position model. The record is from RNAcentral.